Molecule: non-coding RNA, 400 nt
Organism: Thamnophis sirtalis
Lineage: Eukaryota; Metazoa; Chordata; Lepidosauria; Squamata; Natricidae
Source: RefSeq, a predicted model, not a curated record
ACCUCUCUGCUUUCUUCUCAGCCCAUAUAACAUAAGGAAAGAUGCAUGCACCAGCAGAACCGAGAACAACUGGAGGAAGUCUCUGAUCAACUCGGUUACUGCUCCUUUGAACCAAGAAACAAAUCUUAAGGCUGUUCCUCUGCCUGUCCAGGGAGAUCCCUGUCCCAAGCAGCUCUUACAACCAGGUGUACCAAGAGGUGGAAUGUGGCCAUGCUUUCCGAUGGAUGGACUGUGAGCCUUGGGAUUCUGCUUGUGCUCCAAGGAAUGAUGCAUGGGGAGAAGAUAGCAGAAACAGGAUCCUGCCGGCCUCAGCCUUCCUGCCAUGAGUGCAUUCAGUCCCACCCCAGUUGUGCCUGGUGCAAGCAGCCGGUGAGUCCUCAGUCUCGUGAGCCCCUCUUGC